GGAUAACGUUUGGAAACGAACGCUAAUACCGCAUGAUAUUAUUGAGCUGCAUGGCUUGAUAAUCAAAGGAGCAAUCCGCUGAAAGAUGGGCUCGCGUCCGAUUAGGUAGUUGGCGGGGCAACGGCCCACCAAGCCGACGAUCGGUAGCCGGACUGAGAGGUUGAACGGCCACAUUGGGACUGAGACACGGCCCAGACUCCUACGGGAGGCAGCAGUGAGGGAUAUUGGUCAAUGGGGGAAACCCUGAACCAGCAACGCCGCGUGAGGGAAGACGGUUUUCGGAUUGUAAACCUCUGUCCUCUGUGAAGAUAAUGACGGUAGCAGAGGAGGAAGCUCCGGCUAACUACGUGCCAGCAGCCGCGGUAAUACGUAGGGAGCAAGCGUUGUCCGGAUUUACUGGGUGUAAAGGGUGCGUAGGCGGCUUUGCAAGUCAGAAGUGAAAUCCAUGGGCUUAACCCAUGAACUGCUUUUGAAACUGCAGAGCUUGAGUGGAGUAGAGGUAGGCGGAAUUCCCGGUGUAGCGGUGAAAUGCGUAGAGAUCGGGAGGAACACCAGUGGCGAAGGCGGCCUGCUGGGCUCUAACUGACGCUGAGGCACGAAAGCGUGGGUAGCAAACAGGAUUAGAUACCCUGGUAGUCCACGCUGUAAACGAUGAUUACUAGGUGUGGGUGGACUGACCCCGUCCGUGCCGGA
This 693-nucleotide ribosomal RNA is filed under the name uncultured bacterium. RNAcentral describes it as "bacterial SSU rRNA". It matches the Rfam family "Bacterial small subunit ribosomal RNA", at positions 141 to 850 of the family's 1533-position model. The record is from RNAcentral.